This 531-nucleotide ribosomal RNA is filed under the name uncultured bacterium. RNAcentral describes it as "bacterial SSU rRNA". It matches the Rfam family "Bacterial small subunit ribosomal RNA", at positions 776 to 1296 of the family's 1533-position model. The record is from RNAcentral.
GAAUAGAUACCCGGGUAGUCCUGGCAGUAAACGGUGGCACGGUUUGGUGUGGGAGGAUUCGACCCCUUCUGUGCCGUAGCUAACGCGUUAAACGUGCCGCCUGAGGAGUACGGUCGCAAGAUUAAAACUCAAAGAAAUUGACGGGGGCCCGCACAAGCGGUGGAGUAUGUGGCUUAAUUCGAUGCAACGCGAAGAACCUUACCUGGCCUUGACAUGCAUUGUGUCCACGGUGAAAGCCGUGUAGUUGGUAGCAAUAUCAACGCUUUGCACAGGUGCUGCAAGGCUGUCGUCAGCUCGUGUCGUGAGAUGUUGGGUUAAGUCCCGCAACGAGCGCAACCCCUAUGAUCUGUUGCCAUUCCGCAAGGAAGCACUCUGAUCAGACUGCCCUGUGAAACGGGGAGGAAGGUGGGGAUGACGUCAAGUCAGCAUGGCCCUUACGGCCAGGGCUGCACACGUACUACAAAUGCCCACUACAGAAUGAACCAAAGCCGCGAGGUAGAGGAAAAUCCGUAAAAAGUGGGCUCAGUUCGG